Molecule: ribosomal RNA, 253 nt
Filed under: uncultured bacterium
Lineage: Bacteria
Description: partial 16S ribosomal RNA
Rfam family: Bacterial small subunit ribosomal RNA
Source: RNAcentral
UACGAGGGGGGCGAGCGUUGUUCGGAAUUAUUGGGCGUAAAGGGUGCGUAGGCGGUUCCGCAAGUCCUGUGUGAAAUCUUCGGGCUCAACUCGAAGUCUGCACGGGAAACUGCGGGGCUUGAGUGUGGGAGAGGUGAGUGGAAUUCACGGUGUAGCAGUGAAAUGCGUAGAUAUCGUGAGGAACACCAGAGGCGAAGGCGGUUACCUGGACAGUUACUGACGCUCAGGCACGAAAGCAUGGGGAGCAAAAGGG